AUCCAGCGGCUAUCUAGAGAUGACCUCCCUGGAAACGCAGAGUGUUAAUUUGUUCGGUGACAUUGCGAUAAAACAAUCUGCUCUUUUGGUGCUAAACAGAAAAAAGAUUUUGUCAUCUAAAGAUAGCAUGGAUCUAGGCGAACAUAUUAGAAACAUCGGAAUAGGAAUUGAUCUGAAACAAGUGUUGAAUAUGGCUUCUCAUCUUUUUUUCGAAUACUGCAAAAAAGCCGGAAUGGAAAGGUUUUUAUAACAACAAAGAAAGUUUACAAGAAUUGUUGCUGUUUUUAAAAUCAUUCCUUUUUAAUUGUUAUUUAAUUAUUUAUAUUAUGAAAUUUUGGGUUGUUUUUAUCGAGUAGUUUUUAUAACUGUAUGUAUAUAAGAAAAUAAAUUUAUUGUUAUUUACAG
Molecule: long non-coding RNA, 405 nt
Filed under: Androctonus crassicauda
Lineage: Eukaryota; Metazoa; Arthropoda; Arachnida; Scorpiones; Buthidae
Source: RNAcentral